Molecule: ribosomal RNA, 371 nt
Filed under: uncultured bacterium
Lineage: Bacteria
Description: partial 16S ribosomal RNA
Rfam family: Bacterial small subunit ribosomal RNA
Source: RNAcentral
AUACGGAGGAUCCGAGCGUUAUCCGGAUUUAUUGGGUUUAAAGGGUGCGCAGGCGGCCAUUUAAGUCAGCGGUUAAAUCGUGGGGCUCAACCCCAUUCUGCCGUUGAUACUGGGUGGCUUGAUUGCGGUCGAGGUUGGCGGAAUUCGUUGUGUAGCGGUGAAAUGCAUAGAUAUGACGAAGAACACCGAUUGCGUAGGCAGCUGACCAGACCGCAAAUGACGCUCAUGCACGAAAGUGCGGGGAUCGAACAGGAUUAGAUACCCUGGUAGUCCGCACAGUAAACGAUGAAUACUUGUUUUCGGCGAUAUAAUGUCGGAGGCAAAGCGAAAGCGAUAAGUAUUCCACCUGGGGAGUACGCCGGCAACGGUGA